Molecule: ribosomal RNA, 1433 nt
Filed under: uncultured organism
Description: 16S ribosomal RNA
Rfam family: Bacterial small subunit ribosomal RNA
Source: RNAcentral
CUCAGGAUGAACGCUGGCGGCGUGCUUAACACAUGCAAGUCGAGCGAUGAAGUUUCCUUCGGGAAACGGAUUAGCGGCGGACGGGUGAGUAACACGUGGGUAACCUGCCUCAUAGAGUGGAAUAGCCUUCCGAAAGGAAGAUUAAUACCGCAUAACGUUGAAAGAUGGCAUCAUCAUUCAACCAAAGGAGCAAUCCGCUAUGAGAUGGACCCGCGGCGCAUUAGCUAGUUGGUGGGGUAACGGCCUACCAAGGCGACGAUGCGUAGCCGACCUGAGAGGGUGAUCGGCCACAUUGGGACUGAGACACGGCCCACACUCCUACGGGAGGCAGCAGUGGGGAAUAUUGCACAAUGGGGGAAACCCUGAUGCAGCAACGCCGCGUGAGUGAUGAAGGUUUUCGGAUCGUAAAGCUCUGUCUUUGGGGAAGAUAAUGACGGUACCCAAGGAGGAAGCCACGGCUAACUACGUGCCAGCAGCCGCGGUAAUACGUAGGUGGCGAGCGUUAUCCGGAUUUACUGGGCGUAAAGGGAGCGUAGGCGGAUGAUUAAGUGGGAUGUGAAAUACCCGGGCUCAACUUGGGUGCUGCAUUCCAGACUGGUUAUCUAGAGGGCAGGAGAGGAGAGUGGAAUUUCCUAGUGUACCGGUCGAAAUGCGUAGAGAUUAAGAAGAACACCAGUGGCGAAGGCGACUCUCUGGACUGUAACUGACGCUGAGGCUCGAAAGCGUGGGGGAGCAAACAGGAUUAGAUACCCUGGUAGUCCACGCCGUAAACGAUGAAUACUAGGUGUGGGGGUUUCAACACCUCCGUGCCGCCGCUAACGCAUUAAGUAUUCCGCCUGGGGAGUACGGUCGCAAGAUUAAAACUCAAAGGAAUUGACGGGGACCCGCACAAGUAGCGGAGCAUGUGGUUUAAUUCGAAGCAACGCGAAGAACCUUACCUACACUUGACAUCCCUUGCAUUACUCUUAAUCGAGGAAAUCCCUUCGGGGACAAGGUGACAGGUGGUGCAUGGUUGUCGUCAGCUCGUGUCGUGAGAUGUUGGGUUAAGUCCCGCAACGAGCGCAACCCUUGUCGUUAGUUACUACCAUUAAGUUGAGGACUCUAGCGAGACUGCCUGGGUUAACCAGGAGGAAGGUGGGGAUGACGUCAAACCAUCAUGCCCCUUAUGUGUAGGGCUACACACGUGCUACAAUGGCUGGUACAGAGAGAUGCAAUACCGCGAGGUGGAGCCAAACUUUAAAACCAGUCUCAGUUCGGAUUGUAGGCUGAAACUCGCCUACAUGAAGCUGGAGUUACUAGUAAUCGCGAAUCAGAAUGUCGCGGUGAAUACGUUCCCGGGUCUUGUACACACCGCCCGUCACACCAUGAGAGUUGGCAAUACCCGAAGUCCGUGAGCUAACCGCAAGGAGGCAGCGGCCGAAGGUAGGGUCAGC